Molecule: ribosomal RNA, 253 nt
Filed under: uncultured bacterium
Lineage: Bacteria
Description: partial 16S ribosomal RNA
Rfam family: Bacterial small subunit ribosomal RNA
Source: RNAcentral
UACAGAGGUCUCAAGCGUUGUUCGGAUUCAUUGGGCGUAAAGGGUGCGUAGGCGGCGCGGUAAGUCGGGUGUGAAAUCUCGGAGCUUAACUCCGAAACUGCAUUCGAUACUGCCUUGCUCGAGUACUGGAGAGGAGACUGGAAUUUACGGUGUAGCAGUGAAAUGCGUAGAUAUCGUAAGGAAGACCAGUGGCGAAGGCGAGUCUCUGGACAGUUACUGACGCUGAGGCACGAAGGCCAGGGGAGCAAACGGG